CUCGACUCUUAGUUGUCGGGAACGGUAACCGGGACCCGGUGUCUGCUUCUAUCACCCUCGCCUUCUAACCCGUAGCUAUCAUGCGUGAGUGCAUCUCCAUCCACGUCGGCCAGGCUGGUGUCCAGAUCGGCAAUGCCUGCUGGGAGCUCUACUGCCUGGAACAUGGCAUCCAGCCUGAUGGCCAGAUGCCAAGCGACAAGACCAUUGGGGGAGGAGAUGACUCCUUCAACACCUUCUUCAGUGAGACAGGAGCUGGCAAGCACGUGCCCCGGGCGGUGUUCGUAGACCUGGAACCCACAGUUAUUGGUAAGU
Molecule: long non-coding RNA, 312 nt
Filed under: Rattus norvegicus (Norway rat)
Lineage: Eukaryota; Metazoa; Chordata; Mammalia; Rodentia; Muridae
Description: long non-coding RNA NONRATT031214
Source: RNAcentral